UCCACACCAAAAUAAUGAUAGCAAAGCUCUGAGUUGUUUAAUUUUAUGAAAGGUUUUCCAAAAUUAUGGGAGAAACAAACAGUGAGGAAACACUUUUGAGUGCCACUGUUGGUAUGAGAGCUUGACUGUUUCAGCAGGCUGUGGGAACAACACUACCAAUAUCAAAACGUAUGGGUUCCAGCUGAGUAGAGCUGACUGUUUCAGCAGGCUGUGGGAACAACACCACCAAUAUCAAAACGUAUGGGUUCUAGCUGAGUGGAUACCGCCACAACAAAUUUUCCUGUGUUGUGGCGGUGCCCACUCAAGUGGGACCCACAUAUUUUGAUGUUGUGAUUGUGUUCCACUCAAGUGUGGUACCCACACAUUUUGGAAAACAAAAAAAGAGAACACUUGCCAUGCUAUAGAUUCUGUGGAUGUUGUUCAAAAGGCCUGUCUUAACCAGAAAAAUUGCACACUUGAUGUCAAUAUAAACAAGUUUGCUCUUUUACCUCAAGAAUGGAGACAGAUUUUCAGUUAUAGGCUUGCUGUUGAAGCAGUUUGUUAGGAUUUCUUUAGGCAGGAAUAACUUUUGUAAUGAUACUUAGUUAGUAUUAUAAAGACUGAGUUUUUUUUUUUUUAUAUAUAUAUAUGUCUUCUCUUCUUUUUA
Jatropha curcas is the source of this 646-nucleotide non-coding RNA. The record is from RefSeq and is a predicted model, not a curated record. Lineage: Eukaryota; Viridiplantae; Streptophyta; Magnoliopsida; Malpighiales; Euphorbiaceae.